CGAAAUUCGUUGAUGAGAACAAAGCCUGAUGUGGAUUUAUUUACAGAGAGCCUGUGGCCGGUGUAAACAGGUAAUGACCAGAUUAGGAUAUCAUCUUUGAGAAGCGGGUUGAAAGCUUUAUAGAAGUUUGUAGACCUCGCCGGUAUCCACCGUUAUAUGGAUGGCAUAUGCUGGUAUGCUUGAGAGUUGUAGUUUAUUACUACAAAAUUAGGGUGGUAACGCGGAUGAUAUUCGUCCCUUUU
This 242-nucleotide non-coding RNA is filed under the name Clostridium sp. Its description in RNAcentral is "T-box sequence". It matches the Rfam family "T-box leader". From Rfam's summary of the family: Uncharged tRNA acts as the effector for transcription antitermination of genes in the T-box leader family. T-boxes are found upstream of many aminoacyl-tRNA synthetase genes and some amino acid biosynthetic genes usually in Gram-positive bacteria. Lineage: Bacteria; Bacillati; Bacillota; Clostridia; Eubacteriales; Clostridiaceae. The record is from RNAcentral.